AUGCGUGGUCCCUUUCCCAGAUGGUGAUGCAAGAUGACACGGAGGUUUAUCCUGGUUCGGGCAAGAGAAAGCCCUACGUCCAGCGGGGGAGGAGAGUUUGUAUUAUCUCGCACCUAAGUACUUGUACAGGGGUGAAUACAAGCGUGGUAUGAAGUAUGGGAGUUCUACUGCGUAUGGGCGUAGUGUUCCUGUCCGUUCUAUUCCUGAGUCCCUCCUUUUAUAGCU
This 225-nucleotide long non-coding RNA is filed under the name Sorghum bicolor (sorghum). RNAcentral's name for it is "long non-coding RNA (SBIC_LNC013984)". Lineage: Eukaryota; Viridiplantae; Streptophyta; Magnoliopsida; Poales; Poaceae. The record is from RNAcentral.